RNAcentral lists this long non-coding RNA (42465 nucleotides) under Malus domestica (apple). RNAcentral's name for it is "long non-coding RNA (MDOM_LNC008955)". Lineage: Eukaryota; Viridiplantae; Streptophyta; Magnoliopsida; Rosales; Rosaceae. The record is from RNAcentral.
UGUAUGAUUGGCAUGAGUGAUGCUCAUGAAUGUUUAUGCAUGAUUGACAUGAGUGAUGCUCAUGUAUAAUUUUGGAGUACUGGACGUACUUUUGAUCACCUGGUUGGUCAUAAUAGCGGCAGAUUGCCGAAUAAUUUUGGAGUACUGGACGUACUUUUGAUCACCUAGUUGGUGAUAAUAGCGGCAGACUGCCGAAUAAUUUUUGAGUACUGGACGUACUUUUGAUCACCUGGUUGGUGAUAAUAGAGGGUGAACUUUAAGUGGAGGGAUAGAGGUUGGAGUUUGAAUUGCUUUCGGUGCACCUGGCACCAUCAUUACUUCCUCUUUUCUUUUUUAUUCCACUCUUCCUCUUUUCCUUUUUUUUUUAUUUAUUUAUUUUCUUUCUUGCUUUUUUUUUAUUUUUAUUUAUUUUUUGUAAUUGCUUUCGGUGCACCUGGCACCAUCAUUACUUCCUCUUUUCUUUUUUAUUCCACUAUAUUUCCUGCAACUUUCAGAGCGUCAAGGUUGGCAGAGCCCAUCUGUACAAUUGAAGGGAAUUUGAGCUUUUGCUUUUGCUUUUACUUUCUCUUUUCCACCGCACCUCUCUCUGUCUCUCCACCUCCAGACAUAUCACCUGCAGACUUGCUUUUGCUUUUUCUUUUUUCUGAACAUGCAUAAGCAUCACUCAUGUCAACAUUUGGCGCUAUCUGUGAGAAUCGACACGAAAAGCUAUGUCGGUUCUCUCUCAAUUUUUCAUACCUCCACCGUGGACCACGAUACAUCUUGUGUUCUUUACUUUCUUGCAGAUUCACGGUCGGAUUUACGUUGUUCCAAGACCCUUCGGUUUUGUGCAUCAACAUUUGGCGCUGUCUGUGAAUCGACACGAAAAACUAUGUUGGUUCUCUCUCAAUUUUUCAUACCUCCACCGUGAAUCUGCAGAAACCCAACACCCACACACAGAGACACCCAUUCAAUCUAUAGAGAGAAAGAGAAACUCAGGUGCAUCUCUGUUGAAUCAGCUGACCAAUAGUCUCCAAUUCCACAAGCAAAUCACAGAGAGACAACACAACCAAUUGGGCAUUGACCUCCAACUGAUCUCAGCCAUCCAUCAGAUCUGAGACUCUGAUCCCUUCCAAACAACUCAACAUCUAGUUCUCCAGAUUGCCCAUUUAUCGGUUUCUGUUACUCUCAUUUUUGGGUUGUUUAUGGACACUGGAUAGCUUAAAGUUGGGUCGGAGGCAAAAAAGAUGAGGGAAGGAGCGAGGUUUCAGCUAGGGACAAUGGGAGCGUUGACCUUCUCUGUGGUCUCGUCGGUUUCCAUUGUCAUUUGCAACAAGGCCUUUAUUAGUUCUUUGGGUUUCACUUUUGAUCGAGCUCUCUCUAUCGAUCACGACAACAACGCAGGGAGUUUACAUCAACAGAAGAUCCAACGGUUUUGAGUGAGCAGAGAAAAACAGAGAGAAAGCGCUCGUUGAAGAACGAUGGUGACGUCAUCUUAGAAGAAAACGCUCCACUCGCUCGGCCGAACAGGGGACGUUGAAGCCUGGCGGUGAAUUUGGUCUCCGACAACACCGCAACUAGAAGGCCAUUCGUCAGACCUCUUCGUCGACGCUGAAAAACGACAGGAAGAACAUCAGUAUCCCGGAAUCCAUUAAAAUCAAACGUAUGGCAGUUUUUUCUGCCUUAAAUCACUUCAUUUGUGCUCUACCUGACCGUGCUUUUCGGGGCACCGAAACGCCAAUCAUCUCGUCGAUGACCUUCAACGCCGUGAGCGGUCUGAAAUGCUUGUUGCUAUUAAGAUUAUGAAUCGGCAAGAAACUCUUCCGGUGAUUUAUCAUAGAAGAUGACAGAGAUGCCGUUGACGACUGGUGGUUCGGCGGAAGCAUCCGAAUCGAAGACCCACCGCCGCCGACUCCACUUUCACCUCCGUCUUCGUCUUUGUCCUCAUCUUUGUCGUUCACACUCUCCUCCGAACUAUCAUCGUGGCUGUCUUCUCUAUUGCUUCUGUGCAUUAACCUUUCGCCUCUCCGCCUCUUGCUUCGGUGUUGAUUACAUGAAAGCUGAAAGAGAUAUUCUCACUAAGUUGUCGCUGUUAAGAAAAAAGAAAAAGCAAAAGCAAGUCUGCAGGUGAUAUGUCUGGAGGUGGAGAGACAGAGAGAGGUGCGGUGGAAAAGAGAAAGUAAAAGCAAAAGCAAAAGCUCAAAUUCCCUUCAAUUGUGCAGAUGGGCUCUGCCAACCUUGACGCUUUGAAAGUUGCAGGAAAUAGAGUGGAAUCAAAAAGAAAAGAGGAAGUAAUGAUGGUGCCAGGUGCGACGAAAGCAAUUACAAAAAAAAAAAAAAAAAAAAAAAAAGAGCAAGAAAGAAAAAAAAAUAAAUAAAAAAAAAAAAAAAAAAGGAAAAGAGGAAGAGUGGAAUCAAAAAGAAAAGAGGAAGUAAUGAUGGUGCCAGGUGCACCGAAAGCAAUUCAAACUCUAACCUCCAUCCCUCCACUUAAAGUUCACCCUCUAUUAUCACCAACCAGGUGAUCAAAAGUACAUCUAGUACUCAAAAAUUAUUCGGCAGGCUGCCGCUAUUAUCACCAACCAGGUGAUCAAAAGUACGUCCAGUACUCCAAAUUAUUCGGCAGCCUGCCGCUAUUAUCAUCAAUCAGGUGAUCAAAAGUACGUUCAGUACUCCAAAAUUAUACAUGAGCAUCACUCAUGUCAAUCAUGUAUAAACAUUUAUGAGCAUCACUCAUGUCAAUCAUACAUAUACAUUCAUGAACAUCACUCAUGUCAACAUUCAUGAGCAUCACUCAUGUCAAUCAACAUAAACAUUCAUGAGCAUCACUCAUGUCAAUCAGCUUCGAAAGCUUCAUUAACAGAGCUCCAGCUUCAAAGCUUCAUUUACAAAAGCUCCAGCUUCAAAACUUCACUUUCAAAGCUUCACCUACAAAGCUUCAGUGCAUGGUAUACAAAGACCGCCUCCGAACAACCGCCACUUCGGCCCAUACAUGGAUUGAAUUUGAAGUCUUCAGCCAACAGCCUCUAUUGACUGAAGACUUGGGGGACUACAUUAUGUACCAUAUAUUAGGGCUUCCGCAACUGGGCCUCAUGAAAAAUAUUUGGGGGACUUAGCCCAUUAUUUAUGUAUUGAGGAGCGAACUCUUAUUCUAUAAAAAGGGUUCCUCACUUUCAUUAGAGAGCAUCCAUCACUUAUGUAUUGAAGAGCGAGCCCUUAUUUUAUAAAAGGGACUCCCUCACCAUCAUUAGAGAGCAUCAUCACCUGCUGAGCAACCGUCUCGCCACGAGCAUCACUCUUAGCCCAUCACUUAUGUAUUGAGGAGCGAGCCCUUAUUCUAUAAAAGGGACUCCCUCACUUUCAUUAGAGAGCACCCAUCACUUAUGCAUUGAAGAACGAGCCCUUAUUUUAUAAAAGGGACUCCCUCACCAUCAUUAGAGAGCAUCGCCGCCUGCUGAGCAACCGCCUCGCCACGAGCAUCACUCUUAGCCCAUCACUUAUGUAUUGAGGAGCGAGCCCUUAUUCUAUAAAAGGGACUCCCUCACCAUCAUUAGAGAGCAUCGUCGUCAGCUGAGCAACCGCCUCGCCGCGAGCAUCACUCUUAGCCCAUCACUUAUGUAUUGAGGAGCGAGCCCUUAUUCUAUAAAAGGGACUCCCUCACCAUCAUUAGAGAGCAUUGCCGCCUGCUGAGCAACCGCUUCGCCGCGAGCAUCACUCCUAACCCAUCACUUAUGUAUUGAGGAGCGAACCCUUAUUCUAUAAAAGGGGCUCCCUCACCAUCAUUAAAGAGCAUCGCCGCCUGCUGAGCAACCGCCUCGCUGCGAGCAUCAACUCUAGCCCAUCGUUUAUGUAUUGACGAGCGAGCCCUUACUCUAUAAAAGGGACUCCCUCACCUUCAACGCCACAAGCCGAGCCAACCAAGGCAACAUAAGCCACAAACCGAGCAGCCUCGCAACAUAUGCUACUUCUAGUUGAGCAUCAUUUCACAGUGAACACCGCCUCAUAUCGAGUAUCAGUUCUAGACGACAUCUAGUUACUUCGGCCCACACAUGGACUGAAUUUCAAGUCUCCAGCCAAAAGACUCUCUUGACUGAAGACUUGGGGGACUAUUGUUAGUACCAUAUUAUAUUGGGCCUCGUUACUUGGGCUUCCAGACAUUGAGCCCAUGAUCUAUGUAAAAGGGGAAGAGCCCUUAGUCUAUAAAAGGGACUCCUCACCCUCACAAUCCGGGGGCUUCACAUCCCCAAACAGAGGCUUUCACAUUCAGAGCAAAGGUCUCUCAAACUCUCUCUUUCUCUGGGGGACUCCCCCUCACACUUGUAAUCCAUACAUACAGUUACAGAGAAAUACAAUCAACAUCAGUGUGGACGUAGCCCAAACAUUGGGGUGAACCACGAUUCAUCUUGUGUUCUUUACUUUCUUGCAGAUUCACGGUCGGAUUUAAGUUGUUCCAAGACCCUCCGGUUUUGUGCAUCAACAUAUAUAUAUAUAUAUAUAUAUAAAUAUAUUAUUUUGUUAUCCUCUGUUGAAGUUCUUGUCUGAUUUCUGGCAUUGUGAAUUAAUUUAAAACGAAUCAAAUUUGUAUGCAAUUUGGUGGCUUUCUUGUCAUGUCGCUGUCUGUUUGAUUUUGAGAAAUCUCCUGCUGCCCUUAGGUGAACAAUGCUGGUUUGCUUGAGCAUAAUAGAGUUACCACAUCAGAGGGGUGUGUUCUCGAUUACCUCUAUACACAGUUUUGUUUAGAUAUUCUAUCCUUUUUCUCUAUAUAAAAUUUUAAGUCUUUUUCUUUCAAAUGCCAGGUUUGAGUUGAACUUUGCUGUGAAUGUAUUAGGCACCUAUGCCAUGACGGAAUUGAUGUUGCCAUUGCUGGAGAAAGCUACACCUGAUGCCCGGGUUAUUACUGUUUCCUCUGGUGGAAUGUACACUACACCAUUGACCAAGGAUUUACAGGUAAUUGCUUCUAUGAAAUUCUGUUCGUAACGUUACACUCGAUUUGUCCAAUGCUCAUCAAGUUCCAAAAUAUAUGUCUAAUGCAGUUUAGUGAUGGGAACUUUAAUGGCGUGGAACAAUAUGGUCGAAACAAGAGAGUUCAGGUUUGAUCCCUUUAAGAGAUAAUAUAUUUGCAUUAUUUUAGUGAUUUUUUAUCCUCUUUAUGAUAUGUUUCAGAAGAUGCCAAAAAGGAUGAUCUGAAUACUGUGAUUCGAUUAUUUCUACUGAAUUUAAGCGGAGGAAAACUAAUGCAUUCAACUGAGCAAGUUCUUAAAACUUCUAUUUGCACAAAAAUUUCUGAUACAUAUGCCACAUAACAUGAAUCAGAAUGCAGUGUACUCUGAACCUUAGCCUUGAGUUCUCUUCCAACAUAUUAGACGGAGUUAUUAUAACAAAUGGUAGUUCUUGGUUUUGGUAGCAAUGAUUUCGUUUGAAUUUGGUAGUUACGUCUUAAAUUGAGGAAAUUUACUGACAUUCCUUCUGGUUUCUCCUAAGAAGUUUCAGUGCUAGUAAUUUGGUAGAUUCACAGUUGACACUAUCAUGGAAUGUUGUUAACACUAAGAAAUACCAGAUGAUAGUAUUGAUUAUGUUUGUAUAUAAUCUACAAUUACGAAGUACUUUUACUCAGAAAAUGAUAAAAGUAAGGGAAAGGAAACAACUGCCUUUCUUUUUUUUAUCCCCGGGAUAUGAUAUUUGGGCUUAGGGGUACACUACUAGGUUCCCAGAUAAGUAUAAGUGCUUAAUUAACAGAAGUUUAUGUGUGGAUGUGAGCUGUUGGUCAGUUCGAGUAAGAACUUUUUCAGCUAUUUCUGGAGCUAACAUUGUUCUUAUUCAGGUGGCGUUAACAGAGAAAUGGGCUGAUAUAAACAAAAACAAGGGGAUUGGAUUCUACUCAAUGCACCCAGGUUGGGCUGAGACACCGGGGGUUGCCAAGAGUUUGCCAAGUUUCUCUAAAGCGUACGAAAUCUUUAACAUUUUCCAUCUCUUAUUUGUAUCUGCGAUCUAUUUUCUUCUGCUUUAUAUCUAAUCUUCCAUUUUUCUUCUAAAUUUGUUUUAGGCUAUCGGGAAAGCUUAGAACGAACGAGCAAGGUGCAGACACCGUAAUUUGGUUGGCUUUACAGCCUAAAGAAAAACUUGUAUCGGGAGCAUUUUAUUUCGAUAGAGCAGAAGCACCUAAACACCUUUUGUUUGCAGCAACAAGCCGGUCUCAUACUGAAAUCGACUCCAUUUAUGACACUCUAAGUAGCUUAUCUAGGACCUCCGCAUAAGGUUAAUUCGAAAAACACAUACUGUGAAGUCUUGCUGCAAACUUUCAUUGGGUAAAUUUAUUAACCAGGGGAUGGAAAGGAUCAGACUUUGCCUUUCAUAUGGGGCUUUAUACAGGCAAUAAAAUACGUUUUAGUGUCCCUUUAGUGCCCCGUUAUUGUUUGUUUAGUGAAAAACUGUAUUUUUAUUGAAGAUUUGUAAAAGGUUGUAUUUAUGUAUAUUUCUGAUUUUUGUUUAUGUAGAACUGCAGAAUUUAUUUUCUGAAUUCUGAUUAAAUAUACUGAAUAUAUGAUUGUAGUCCUUGAAAUUCAAUUUUCUCUCAAUAAAAUUCAACAUAAUUUUUUUUUUUCUGACUAAAUAUAUUGGUGGCGUGUUUAUGAACUUGUAAUCGGAAUUAAAAUACUGAAUUGGAUUCUGACCUUCGUUUACUAAACUUGAGUGAAUAAAAAGAAAGGUGGGACCCACACAAAAUAUGGAUUUCAAAUUUUCAUUUUGAAUGAAUUUGACUCCUUAAUUGGAGGUGGUAAUUCAAUUUCGAAGAUAUAGAAGAAUCAGAAUUAAUUGUUCUUAUCCGUUAUGCCCUUAGAUAUUUACUAUAAUUUCACUUUUGCCGGCCACCACCAUCCACUGCUAGCAAAAGGACCUGUGUUGUGUUUCUUGAAUUUCAUGUUUCUUUAAUAAUCAUAGGGUUAGCCAAUAUAAAUCUACAGGUUCGUACUCCGGGGUUUGAACUUUGUUUGAUGUUGAUCUGGGCUCUACGGAAGCAUAGAAAUGAUGUACUAUGGAACGGCUCUUUGUUACCACCGCACGAGAUUGUGCUUAGAACCGAGGGUUGGAUGCAGGAAUAUCACAAAUGGCACAAGCCAGCAGCAAAGCGGUCUAUUCGAAAGGUUCAGAAGUGGCGGAAACCUGAGGAGGGUUGGAUCAAGUGUAACUUUGACGGGGCCUGGAGUCAAAGCGGGCUCCGGGGAGGUUUUGGGGUUGUGAUUCGUAACCACUUGGGGGAGUUUAUUACCGCUGUUGUUGGCUAAGAGUCAAUGUCCGGCGGAGGUGAAGGUUAACUUUGAAGGAGAUGCUAGUUUUGUGUUGGCCGCCAUGAAGGGGCAAGGGGAUGACUGCUUAGCUUUUGGUCCCAUAAGACCAUCUCCAACCCUUGGGCUAAAAGCCAAAUUUUUUAGCCCGAAAAAUUUAGCUUUUAGCCCAGAAACAUCUUUUCUGCUCCAACCCUUCUACCCUAAAAUUUUAGCUCGGAAUUAUUAAAGAAUGAAAUUAGCCUAAAUUUUUUUCUUAAAUCAAUUUAAAAAAAAAAUAUAUGUAGAUUAUUGUAAAUUAAUUUUAUGAACAUUUUAAUCUAAAAAAAUUUAAAUUCCGAUAAACAUUUCGCAUUUAGCCCAGGGGGAAAGCUGGAGGUAUUUGGCCCAGAAAUAGCAUUUGGCAUUUAGCCUAAAAUUUUAGCAUGGGUUGAAGAGUGUUUGGGGGGUAAUUUGGCUUUUAGCCCAGGAUUGGAGAUGGUCUAAUAAAUUAUUUGAGGUGUUUCCUUGUGGGUUGGGCGACUUUGUCGAUCAGUCAUAUAUCCAGCGGGAAGGUAACUUGGCAGCGCAUCGACUUGCUUGUAUAGGGAUUAGUAGUGCUCAUGAAGUAUUGUGAUUCGAGGAGCUUCCAGAUUUGAUCCAAGAUAUUCCCAUUGGGGAGGGAUUGUAAUUUCCAUUUCUAUUGUUCAUUUGAGGAUAGGUCUAUUGAUGUGCGGGAUGCUCUUUUCCUUCAAUCGGGUUGAAAUUCCCGGCAAGAUUUUUAUUGAGGCUCAUUAUGCACACUAUUCUUAGUUUGUACGUAUUCUAAGUUGUUUAAUGAAUAUCGUAACUUUGCUUCAAAAUAAUAAUAAUAAUAAUAAUCAUAGGGAUUAAGAAAACAACAAAUAAUUAAUGCUUAUAGGGUAAUUACUAUUAAGGUUUUAUUAUGUUCCAAAUAAUAUUACUAACGACAUUAAUUUGAAGUUAUCCAAUUAUUUGGCAUAUAAAUAUGUUAUUUAGAAUAAGAGUAUUUUAGUAAUCAUAUUUAUUUCUAUUCUGAUUCAGGUGAAUUAUUAAACAACUUAUAUGGACUCAAUUUUAUUCUUAAGUAAACAAUUUUAAUAAGAAUAUAAUUCUGACUCCUUAUUUCAACUUCUCCUGAAUUAAAUUUUUCUUAUUUUAAUUAUGGAUACGUAAUUUGUUUAAUUUCUUGUGGGGUUUUGUAUCUCAAUAAUUGUACAGAGCAUUAGUCACCCCAUGCUAAUAAAGACUUUUUAGUGCUAUCACACCAAACCUUCCCCACCCUGAGUUGAGUUCCCAUCAAAAGGCGACAAGUAAUAAGUAUCAACGCUUGAAAAGACAUCCAAAAAAGUUAAAGCAACCAAAUGUAAUUAUGUAAUCUUCAAAGCAAUAAUAGAUUAGAUCUAAAAGGCCUUUCAGAGUAGUUUGAGUGAGCAUAAUAACUGUAUAUAGGAAUCGGUAACUUGAGUUUAAUAUGCAUAACACUACUGCUACACUAAUGUUAGUUCAAUAUGUUGAUACCACGUUCAUGAGUACAUAUGAGUUCUAUAUAUUAGUAUCACAGUCAAAUUUAUAGCUCAUGAGUGAUUCCUAUAUGAGUUCAAUAUAUUAGUAUCACAUUCUUUCUUUUUUUUGGCCUACUAUGAAAGACUAGUUCUACUUUAAACUACACUAAAAAGAGAGAAUUUGAACUCGUAGCGUAUUAUGUUGAGCUUUGAGGGCCGGAGUAGUGUAGCCACGCACCAAAUUUCGAACCCGACGUUUUGCAAUGUUUCAAUUAUUAACAUGUACAUCAAAGAAAGGAAAACAAUCAGACUGAACAGUGCAUGACAACAACACUGCAGAAAAACAAGCAAGUACGAAACCACUACUUUCCGAAGAUGGCUAAGUUUUAGUGAAUGCCAUCUUCAUAAGAACAUAUGUUUAGUUAGUUUCCACUCAGUUCGAAAAGGGUUGAGAAUCGACGACAGAAUGAGUUGGCAUAGAACACCCCGUUACCAUACACAAUACAGCUCAUAAGGGCACUCAAACAACUCUUAGUCAACAAGUACUUGUACAAGAACUUAACAAACGAAGAAGAAACUGUCAGUCGUCAAUGCCAUUUACAACUACAUUUCGUAUUUAUUUCUCACACACCUUUUCUUUUCUGUUUUUGGUACAAAACUCUCACACGUCUUUAUUUGUAUAACUAUUUCACAUUUACGACAAUAUUUAUGAAGUAACAUCACAAGCACAAAGGAGAUGGUCUUCAGCAUACUAUAAAAUCCUUGUUGGUUGUGUAAUUACAGGGAGUCACCUGAAGAACCCAACAAUGCCGGCUUUCUCAACCAGUACUGCUGAAACCUCUGCCUCGCAUACUCCGUGUAGUCAAAAUCAAUUUUGUUCACAUGACCCUGGAAACCAGCAGAACAUGUAAAUAUGUUAUAAACACAAAGAGGCAGUCAACUCACACAAACACGCACAAGCUAUUGCGAAUAACAGUGUAAGGAAAAGUACAAAUGAUUUACCGAAAUUAUUCCCCAUAAGCCCCAAAAGAGAUGGUUGGCCAAAGUGUACUUCUCUGCUAUUUCAACUAGCUGCUCCACCUCAGCAUCACUGGGUUCGCAACCUGUAAGGAAUAUUGGAGACGAAGCGUGUUGAGGAUCACCAACGCUUUCAAAUUAAACAUGAGCAAACUUUGCUCAAUUAUUUUUCGGUCAAUAAUGCUAAACGUCAAACAUGAAUAAUCUGAGCACUAACAUGCAUACAAACCAAUAACCAUGCCCAGAUCUUGCAGAAAUCUUCCUUACACAAACCUUGAAAACCAACGAGCAUUGUUCGUUUAAACAGUUAAAUGUAGGAACAACCAAUAUCCGUUUACCCAGAUACAUGCAUAUCACAAAAUCAACAGAGGGAUCAGAAAAUGAAUAUGCUAACCUGCAGAGCUCAGAUAUGCACGGACAAAUCUCUGGCGCUCCUCCAGACCUGAUUCAACAGAAUCGAGAAAACCAAAAUAUUUAAUUUUGUAAUGAAUUAAAAAUACCAAAUAAUUAUUUCCAUGUUUUCAACUUGAUUGAAUUCUCAAGGUUAAAGCAGGAGAAAAUGCAAUGAAGGACAAAUCACAAACAGAUUAACAGUUACCUGGAUAAUUCCUGUAGUCCAAAACGUGAGGUGUCUCAGAGUGGUAGUUUGCUACCAUUUCACAGAAAUGAUUUGCAAGGUCAUAAGCGACAGGAUUGUAACUGGCAUAUUCAUAAUCCUGGAAACAUAACAAAAUCAUAUCAUUAAUCAUAAUAUAUCAUCGCAACACAGGUUUAUAACAUUGCUUUACAUACAUUUUUUAGCAAGAACAUAACAGGGAAUCCAACUACUGAUAACUUGAUCAUGCUCGGUGAAUAUAAUAUGAAUGUGAUGCUAGACAAUUCGCAUUAAGUUUUACAUGCAAGCAAGGAAUGCCAAGAAAGUUUAUUCUCAGAGAUUGCUUCAUGAGUUACAUUCAGAAUAACUACUACUUAGAACUCUCUGUCAUUUACUUAGUCAGCAUCCCAAAUCCAUGUACCCCUGAUUCCUCAAACAGGCUAAAGCUAGUAAGAACGCAUUUUCUUGAUUACAUCGACAACAUGAUUCAAAUCGAAAAAUGAUGGAUUUAUUGUUAAAAUAGACUCGGACUAUGUUUUCUACUACUCAACAAGUUGACACCAUUAACUAAGAAAAUGUUUUCUACUACUCAAGAAGUUGACACCGUUAAGUUAGUAAGAAAAACUAAUCUACUGUCCAUGUCAAAACGAUUAAAUUCAGGUUGUAGAAACUGAAGUGUUCGACUUCAGUAACAAUCCUAGGUCACAAGUGGAAUCGCGUGGAAGGAAAGAAAAGUAGUAAAGAAAGUGCAAUAUUUUUAAAACCAGCGAGACAGUUAAUGACAAUGAAACGGUUUCGUUGAAACCAAGUAAAGAACUCACAAUUAAAGUGAUUAAUCUGGUCUCUUCAUCCAUCAUUAUGUUACCGUACUGCAGGUCAUUGUGACAGAACCCAAUUUCUUGAUAGUCCUGUGACAGUUCUUUCUCUAACAUACUAAUUUCCUCUUCCAAAGUAUCCAAGCCGAAUUCCUGUAUGUCUUUGAUCGAACACAAGUUUUUUGCCUCAUUGAGCCAGUUCCUGGGGAAAAUACGUAAACUGCAUAAAAAUUCACGAAUACUCAAAAGGGAAGCUUUAGCUUUUCAAAAUAUAAAAUUACCUCAUUCUAUCCCAAAGGACUACAUUUCUCGGACCAGUCAUAUCCAAAUUGUGGAACUCUCUCAGCUUAGCUGCUAUAAUAGCAGAUAUUUCGGGAUCACGGAGGUCAGCAGCUGAUAGCGUCUGAGAAUUGAAAAACACAAUAGCUUAUGGAUAUGAUAAAAAAUCUUCUGCAACAGGUUAUAUGAAGAGAUUACACUGAACCUCAAACAUGCCUUUGUACAAUUUUGGUAUGAUAGAGGAUCAAAUCCCGAAGCAAAUCAGUCCGUCCUUUUUGAUGUUAGAUCAUUUAAGUCCAAUUUAAAUUAGAUGAUACAUAAGUUGUCCAGCUGAAACAAUCGUAAUUGCAAGGUAGAACCGGAGAAAAUCUAUUACAUCUUUAUCACCUAUCUUGAUCCUAAAGAUUGAUUGCCUCACAUGUUCUUUUAAUUUUUUUCGCUUAACUAUAAGAUUCUGCAAAUAGGCUGUUCAAUUUUAUCCAAAUAGUUCGGUAAAUAUAACACUCAAAACUUAUGCCUACGUGUCAGGGUUUCAAUAGUCUAUGAUUUCUGGUGUAACGAGUUUAGGCUUUUCCAGUCGUAUCACAAUCUUAUCAAAAACUGACUAAUCGAAAAUGACAUGAAGUGAUUAACGGCUUCUUCCCUUCACAACAAUAUAAGACAUCAGAUACCCUUAUCAUACACAAAAAGCUAAAGUAAGCUAAAGUACCACUUUAAAAGAUUGAUCAAGAUUACAGUGACAUACGGCCAGACCCUGUAUGCUCUUUGCACUAGUCAAUUCAGUCCUAAAGUGCAGAUUGGACCUUAUUCUUCUUUUUAUUGUUUACAACCACAAUAUAAAGUCAUCAUGCCACUAACUUUGAAACAUUAAACUAAGGAAAAGUAGUGACAAUUAUAGAGGAUUUAGUGAAAGUAUUCCAAAGACAUCAUUAGUUAAAGACUUGGUUAAAGUAACUCGUACUUAAAAAAAAAGAGAAGAUAAUAUGAACUGGUAAACAUAGCAAACAUACUCUAGCAUGAAUGAACUCCUCAACCCGUCCCUCUGCAAAUCGCCCAAGAAGACGCGGCCCCUGGCCGUGCUUGGACAUGCACUCGAACGUCUGAAUUUCAUUCUCCCGAUUAAAAAACACUUCAACUCCCUCACCGUAAACCCGAACCAGAACUUUCCGGAAAAGGUCACCAUUGUUCCUCGUAGGCCAACUUAUUUGAUAGACCUCAUUAGUCAUUGCCCCUUUCAAUGGGGUGACCUGCAAGGCAUUCAAAUCAUCCACUACAUCCCCCCAUUCAGAAGCUACAGAUAAAAGUACCUUCUUUAAUUCCUCUGGAAGACAACCUUUAACUAGACCGAGUGUCUUGAUGGCCAUUUUUUAUCAAUUAUCAAUUCAAACAGAGGUUCACCUGCAUAUCAAAGUGUUCCAUUAGCUUCUCUCUAAUCGAAUUCUGGCACCCUAAUCCUAUUUUGUUCCUGAAAUCUAAUCAAGGUGCUUAAUUGGGUUCAAACAACAGCUUAAUUGCUAUAAUCUAAUCAUAUCGAGAUCUCGACGAUUUCAGAAGAUUAGUCAUCACAGCUGAUGGAAUUAAAAAACUGCUCAGCAAGAAACAAAGAAACAUACCCACAUGAAACGAACAGUAAAAUUCAAGGAGAAAAAAAGCUCAAAUCUUUGAUAGAAAUAUCUAACUGAAAUGCCCUAUUAACUUCAGCACUUGGAAGAUAACACAACCCAAAAUGAUUAAAAGAACAAAAAACAUAUGAAAUAUACAGAACCCAAAUGAAAGAUAAACAAAAAAGCAUUAAGAGAUUGAGAAACAGAAGAAGUCACCUAAGGAAGAAGAGUUCAAGAAAGAUGCAGGUUAAUUUGAUAUGCCAAACUGCAGAUCCUUUUUAUAUCAAUGUGUAAACAAUCACUAAAAAGUCAAAACGUAAAUACAUAAAAUACUUGAAAUAAUGAACAGAGUCUCCCUUGGCCCAAAAGAGGGGAAUCAAAUCAAUAAAAGAACAAAACCCAGAAUCCUUUUAAGCCUAUUAUAUAUGAGGGUGGGAUUGUGGGAUCAGAGAAAAUAAUAUUUUUUUAGAAAAAAAGUCCAAAAACUGACUUUUCUCUUCGUUUCUGUGGCAAAAGCAAAAGCAGAGUACCAAAAUACAAAGGGUUUUUCGGGUCUGUAAUAUUGACUGAAUCUUGCUACAGAUUCUGAGCCGGAAUUAAUACCCAACUCGGAUUGACCAGAUUCUAAAUUCUGAAUACGCGUAGACGGUGAAUGCUUUUGUUUGUUUUUAUCUUUUUCUUUGUGUGUUGGUUCCGUUCUUCUUGUUUACUGGGUCAAAGGAGUGAAUGUCAAAGAAAACGAAGUCACAGACUUUUGAUUUAUGCACGUACGAAUUAUUACGCACGGAACAACGAGGAAAUGUGGUGCCUGCGGGGCCCAGUUAUGGAAAAUAGCUCGCCAAAUGAGGACUUCUCUUUCGCUAGAGACUAGAACCUCGUUUGGCAGCUCGGACUGUACUGACUAUUUCAGUCGGAUAGGAUAAAUAGCCACCGGAUAGUACUGACUAAAUUAGUCGGGCGUUUGGUGCAGUAUCGGACUAACGAUCGUAUUAUUUAUACUGUGUUUGGUACUAUACCGAAUAAGAAGAAUUCAAAGUAUUAUUACUCUUCAGUCUUCCCCAGAUCUCUCCGCCGCACUGUCCCCUAGCAGCCUCAGUCUCUAUCUCCUUACAAUUGUUGGCCUAAAGAGGCAUUGAAAUGCAUCGUCAAGCAGAUCUUCCCCCUCUGUACAUUUGAAACUAAUCCAAAAAAUACCCCGAAACUAAGGAAAUUAAAUCACAAUCAGAAAACAAAAAAAGGGGAAACAUGCAAAAUCGUAAAACCCAGAUGAAAUCUUUUCGAAUUUUCGAAUCCUAUCAUCGAUUCCAAGUCAAGGUUCUAAAACCCAAAUGAAAUCUUUCUGAAUUUGUGAGGUGGUGGUGCGAUUGGUCUCUCUGUGGGCGUCUGAAUUAAACAAAAAAAAUGGCAACGGGGAGAACAGAGUUGGGGAGAUCAGCGUCGGCUGAGGAGGACGGAGCCAAUGAGAGGAGACCGGGAGAACAAAGCUGGCCAGGGGAGACGGCAAGAACAUAGCCAGCCAAAGGAGACGGGGAGAAUGUAGUCGGUGAGAGAAUGAGACGGCGAUGGAAGCGAGAGAGAAAGCCCAGUUCGCGCGAGAGAGAAAGGACCCGACUAAAUUAUACACUCCUUUUGGACGGGUUUAUUAAGAGGGCAUACACCGUAUAAAAUAAGAGCAUCGGAUUAAAUUAGUCCGGUCCAAUUUAAUACGAGAGCGCGUCAAACACCCGACUCCGUAUUAAUAAUCCUAUCCGAUGCUAUAUACGACGUACCAAACGAGGCCGAGUUUCUGUUUUUUAUCCUCCUCUUCUUUCCGCUGAAAAGGGCAUCCAUGUAAUUUAGUAGAUUUUGAUUUCGAAUAUUUUCAUAUCUUAGAAAGAGAAUAGAAUUGAAUAUUGACUUUAGUAUGCACACUUUUUUUUUUCUUUUGACGGAUUUGAAAAUUUUAAUAAGAUUUUAUCCAAGGCCUAUCUAAAACACUGUAUUAUUUCCGUAUGAAACGUGAAUAACGUACGUCUUUAAUUAUAUAUAGACUUAAUUAUAUAUAGAGUACAUUUAUCAUAUUUUUGAUAGGAUCAGAACUACAAGCACAUGUGAAUUCUAUCUUUAUUCAUGAGACAAUACAAAUGUAAUAUAAAAAAUAUAAUAAAGUAGUCAUUUCUUAUAUAUAUAUAUCUUAUUCCAUACUAUAUUAUAUGACAGAUAUUUAAGAGCCGUUUGGCAUCCCACUAGUAUUUUCUUUUCAUUUUUAAAAAUAUUUUCUAAACCAACUUCUUUAAGAACAGUUUCUUAUAAGACCCAAAAACUUGUUUUGUAUGAAAUUUAAAAUUAUUUAAAUCUUAGCUAACUUUCCUACUCUUUUGGUGUAGAUUUAUCAUUUGUUCAAAAAAAAUCUUAACAACUAAAGAAAUAAGAGACGGAGAGAAAGGACCGAAAGAAAGGGAGAGAGAAGAGAACAGAGAGAUAUGAGAGAGAAAGCUGAGGCCUGAGGAAAGGAUCAGAAAAGAGUGAGGAGGGAGAAAAUUCAGAACAUAUAGAACUAGAGAGGAGAGCCUAGGAAAGGAUCGGAACAAAGAGGACAAAAAAGAAGAGAAGAGGGAGAGAGAAAAAUAAGAAGAGAUAGGACGCGAGAGGGACGAGUUAAAAAUAGGAAGAGAUUAGAUAGAAAUAGACGAGGAGGGAGAUUAGUUUAAAACUGACUUUUGUGUUUUUAAAAAAUAAGUUAAUUUUUUAAGUUGGUUUUGAUUUCACUUUUUAAAAUAGUCUUACUAAACAAGAAUAUUGACUUAAGAUCCAAAAAUUAUUUUUGAGUUAAAAAAUUGGGAUGAAUCAAAAUCCUAAGUUUUUUAACAAUGAUGUGUUAUCAAUCAAAUUUAUAUUUUAAUUCAAGUUAAAAUUUAAUUUAUCAUUGUGAUUAAAAUUAUUACAGUGUAAAAUUGUCUAAUCAUAUAAUGAGUCACAUCACUGUGCACGUCCUAGUGUAUAUGGACAUUAGUCCUAGUGUAUAUAGACAUUCUUUUAAAGUGAGACUCUUUAUGGAUUAAUUUACAUGCUAACAUUAUAAAAUAUUAUGCCGAAAACAUAAUUUGACAAAGAGUUUAUGAAGAGUCCUAAUUUUGAGUAGGGAUGACAAUUCUAACUGUUAAACCCGAUAACUAUGGAUAAGCGUCCGAAUGGAUUGGUAUUGGGUAUGAAAAUUCAGGUAUAUUUUGGAUAUGAGGAAAAACUGUGAAUCAUAUUCGGUUAUGAUUUUGGAUAUGGUUAUAGAGAUCCCCAAUCCGUAUCCGUCCUUGAAUCCGAACCGAAUUAUAUAUAAUAUAAUUGUGUUAUAGAUAUAUAUAUAUAUAUAUAUAUAUAUAUAUAUAUAUAUAUAUAUUAUUCACUAAAUCUAUUACCCUAAGAAUAAAAAAGUUGCAUUGUGUGAGUUGCAUUUUGUGGACAAUUUAGAAAGUUUUGAUAUGAAUCAAAAUCUAUGAGAAUCCAGACCAAUAAUACUUAUGGGAGAUAUCAAAGAUCAGCCCACAUUAUCAAAGUUUAGCCUUAAUUUUUAUGCUCCACAAGAUCCAUUCAUUAAAUUAUUUUAUACGUCAAAUAUUUAAUGAUGAAAUUAAUAUUUACUAAAUUAUCAAGCGUCAAUUGAACGAAUAUAUUUUUUGAAUUGACAAAGAUAGGUAUAACUGUUAACUGAUGGAGAAUCCGUCACCGGUGAGUAUGGUUAUAUAUAAUACCCGAUGGUUAAUUGGCAGUUAUGGAUAUGGUUAAUUUUCGUCCCCAAAACGAACCGUUGCCAUCCCUAAUUUUGAGAUAGUCUCCUUAGCAUUUCUCAUACAACAUUAUAUUUAAGGGCCAAAAUCUAUUAAACAAGUUUAAAUUUCUCUGGUGCAAGUGCAAUAAGGUAAUCAUAGUGAGCAGUCAUUGGUGGAUACUACCAAGGCAUACUGUUACAUUAUAUGAAAUUAAUGCAGAACUUUCUCCGUAGUUAUUACAUGUAUCAUAAAUGACACACCUCGACCAGAAUCAAGGUGUGCUGACCAUCAUGUGAAGGUGACGUAACCGUAAGUGCACGUGAUACAAGGAAAUUGUGAAUAAAUUAAAACCGAAAUUAGAACUUAAUUAAACUAAUUCAGUGAGUGCGCAGUAAUGGUUACAACCCAUAACUACAAAUAUUCAGAGCAUAGAUAAAGAAGUCGAACGAGAGAAGUACUCAUUACACAACUAGAGAUAAGUUCCUACGUUAAGAUGAGGAUAUGUCAAAAUCACCAGCUAUUCCUCGUACGCCACAUAGAUAAAUCAGCUAAUUAUGACCUGAAGGGGCGAAAAACAGAAGGGUGAAUGAGCACAAAAAUAAAGGUUUAUAAAAUCCAUUUACUUUUCAAUCAUACUAACCCCUCGCUGUAAAACAAGCAUAGUUUCUAGAAAAUCAUACUACGUAAAAGUAUGAAAAUCAAAUGCAUGCCAAAUGAAAUUCUAGAAGUAUGCCACAACAGAUAUUCUCAACAACAAUAUAGAUAUGAUAAUGUGUUGUAAUCUAUACUAACAUGUCAGUCGGAGUUACCUAAUAUGACCUGUACGAUUGCACCAAUCGCUCAUCCGUCUAUGCUAACACAUCGAGUCAAAACUGCCUAAUGCAGUCUGUACACAAGCUAGGUGUAAUAAUAACGCUCUAAUGUUACGAUCACGUGAAGCUUGCACUAAGCGCAGUCACCAUCUAGCCGGAACCACCUAUUGUGGUAUGUACAACAAGCUAACACCUACUUGAAUCCAAAGUGAGAGUGCGGUGCUGGGGGGUGAACAUACACGUGAAAGCUAGCCUGGCCUUGGGUUGAGCACUCACUUGGGGUGUAGCAAUGAUGAGCAGACUAUAGAUAUGCAUGCCAAUAAGUCUCAAUUAGUCAAUCAAUCACACAGCCUUACCUGAACUUACCUGCGCGUCUCAUGAUCACCUUAGCAUUUCAAUACAUAUAUCACAAUAAUAUGCAGGUAAAAUGCAUAUAAGUAUGCCAGGAUGAUAAUUAAAUUUCUACUUUAGUAAAUCAUUUGUAAAAAUAUAAGUAUCAUGGCAUAACAUGCAUAAUUCAUUUAAAAUGAUUAUGGAAACUAUAGUGUAUAUAUGUAAAUGUACGAAAACAAAAUGCCUACUCACUGGUAAGUCGUAGGAUUGUAACCUCCUAACCUUGCGUGCCCACGUAUGUCCUUGGGGUAAGUCUCCCCUAUAUGUGGAAUUACUAAAUAAAUUAGGUUAAUAACACAUAUACAGAAACUUAAAUAAAACCCCCAUAGUUUGUUCAAACCUAGGGUUUAAAUAUACGAAAAUAAUCUACUCGACGCCAUGGACCUACACAAAUUUUCAGAAAUAUUUUUGGACAUCGAACGUGCCCUCACAUGUUUGCUAAGGCACGGCCAGACGCGCCACCAUGCGUGGCCAGAACCCUGAUGUCCGUCAGGAAUAUUCCGUUAACUUUAACUAACGGAACAUUAUGUCAGUUUAGGGAGUUGCGUGGAUGCUUCCACGACCUUCAAAACUUGGUAACUCGACCGCAAUCACGUUGACACAAAAACCACCGAGUCGGAGCUUCCGAGUCAAUGGGUCAAAAAACUUAUCAAAUUGAAAAACGGUUGGCAUGGUUGUGAUCGUGAGGUCGAGAGGAUCACGAUGGUGGUAUUUUCAAGGUCAAUCUGUGAAGAUUGGUAAAGGUCCUUGUUCUUGUAGAGAGAAGACAGCUUGGUGAGGAAGAGAGAGAAGGGGGAGAAAAAGAGUGACUUUUCCGAUUGGUAGAGAGAGAGGGAGGAAAGCUGAUUGGGUGAGAGAUGUGUGGGAUAAAGUUGAUUGGUGACAAGGUGUAAGGCACGAAUCUGGGUUUUAAAGAAGUAAAAUGAUAGGCUUUUACAGAUUUCCCAUAGUAAAAGCAAAUCAGAAAUCUAUCCAAAAUAGUGUUUUUAAUACUGAUAAAAUUAACGUACGCUCGUAACAACAAGUACAAAUUAAUUACGAUAGCGAGAAUAAUAAUUUAAGAGCGAAUAAAUACAUCCACGUCACUUGCCAACAAGGGCAUAAAAGGUAAUUUACAUAUUCGGGGAGAAAUUACAUAAGAAAUUAGAGAUGGGUCGUCACAAUAAAAAUAUAAUUUUUUAAUUGUAAUUAGUUUCAAAUUUCUACCUAAAUAAGGAUUUAUAUCACUCUACGUAUAUUGUAAUAUUUUACUCACAUCAAUACAGAAAGUUUAAAUUACAUUGAUAUAAUCAUGCAAUAAUUACAAAAAUAAUUUCAGAUUAAUUUCAUGUAAUAUAACAUAUACUUAUAUAUCUAUAAUAUCCACCAUAAUGAUAUGGUAUGGACUACCAUAUCCCUUUUCACGUGAUUGCAAAUGCAGUGCAACCGGGUUGAACAACCCCUUUUUUUAUUUUUUUAUUUAUCAUUAUUAACGGGAUGAGAAAGUGUCAAAACUAUUACAAUAACAUAGAAGAUGGAGAGUUUUGAACCGAAUACACAUUCAACACUUUAUUCAUUAAAAUAUUAGACCACAUGCAAUGGGUUGAGGACUUAGAUAGGAGUGAUCUCGCGUCACAUGUAUGAUCUUCUCAUCCCAUUCAUUAGUUUUGAGAAAUUUAACUUUGUAUGACACAUCAAAUCUCUCUUCGAUCUUGGAUUUGGAUUUGGAACCUGUAAAACAUGUUAUUUGUAUUAACCCGAUUAUUAUUAAUUGCUCGACGUCAAUAAAAGCACCCUUAAUUAUAUCAAUUUUAUUUACUCAAAAUUAAGCGUAUUACAACCUGUAAAACGUGAGUCAAUGUUAGGGGAAAAAAAGGAAUGCAAAUAUUGUAAAUACUAGGAGUCCUUUAUUAGGUAGGAUAUUGUUUAUGUCCUUUAUUAUUUUCCUUAUGGAAUACGGAUUGUAUGUGUAUAUAUUUCAAAAAAGUAAUACCAUGAGAAUUACCCCGUAAAAUUCUAUUGGGCAUCAGAACAAGGAUGUCGUAACCCUAGAAAACUGUAUAUUCCGCUGCUUCUUUCGGUUGACUGGUUCUUGCGUUGUUUGUUGUAUUGGUCAGGCCAUGUACCCUGUGAUUUCAGCACGCUGUCUUGCUGCUGCCUUGUGGUUCUUGAUUGCAGCGCAGUAUUUUGAUGCUGCCGUGAGUCUUUAUUGCAUAACUGUGCAUGCUGUGUUUUUCCCCUUCUUCACUGUAGGUUGAGAUGGAAAAUAUAAGGGAUGACUCAACCUUGAAGUUGGAAGGUGGUUCCUGCACACCAACCAACAAUCCGGUACUGAGUCCCGUUGUUAUUCAGAACAAUGCGUCUGUCGUACUGAACACCAUGAAGUUGAAUGGAUCAAAUUAUUCUAUUUGGUCCAAGGUAUUGGAGAUGCACAUUGCUGGACGUGGUAGAAAGGGCUUUGUGACAAGGAGUACCAAAGAAUCUGCUGAGGAUAGUGCUGAGUAUGAGAUGUGGGAGACAGGGAAUACAAUAGUAAAAGGGUGGUUGAUCAAUUCCAUGGAACCUGCUAUCAUGAGAUUUUUUUAUUCACCUGUGUACUGCUAAAGAAGUUUGGGAAGAGGUGGCUCAAACAUAUUAUGAUGGUUCAGAUAUUUCUCAAAUUUAUGAAUUGAAGGUUAAGUCGUUCAGGCUUCGUCAAGAGGGCCGACUGGUUGGUGUGUAUUACGCUGACCUCAAGUCCAUUUGGCAGGAGCUAGAUCAAUGAAGACCAAUCAAAAUGGAAUGUGAUAUCGAUCUCAAGACAAUUCGAGAAGAAAUUCAAAAUAAUCGUGCGUAUGCUUUUUUGGCGGUUUUGGAUGCCAUCUUUGAUAAAGUACGUAGUGAUAUUCUACGUACUUAACCCUUACCAUCUGUUGAGGAGGUGUUUUCUGUUGUUAGGCGUGAAGCACAACGACAUACCACUAUGAUGGGUGAGAGUAACAACUAAGGGGGGCUGCCAUCCAUGGCCAUAAUCUCUCGGCCACCUGCAACUUUUCGUCCUAACAAUUCUUCUAAUCAAUCUUUCAAUUCUCGUCCAUUUACCCGAGAAAAUAAAGAUGAUUUGAAGUGUACUUUAUGUGGUCAAACCCGUCAUACUGAAGAUACACGUUUCGCCAAGCAUGGGGUGCCUGAUUGGUUCCCAGAAUUUAAGAAAAAAUUGCGUGCCAAUGAACGUGGAGCAGUAGGAUCUGGUGGAGGUCGUGCCUCCCUUCAGCGGCCACACUAACAGCCCAGGAGGCCGAGCCUAGCUCUAGUGAUUUUAGUCAAACUUUGUUGACUCGCACUCAGGGUGACUAGUAUUCCAACACAGGUAUUAUGGGGCGUGGUCUUUUAGCAUAUGAAACUAAGCAACAUACAGGUGGAUUCUGGACUCUAGUGUAACAGAUCAUAUGACCUAUGAUAAAAAUAUGUUUCAAUACAUGACUACAUCUCACAAGAAAAACAUAGCAACUGCCAAUGGUACCCUGGCACCUGUGUGUGGCGCGGGCACCGUGCAUCUCACCACAUCUUUCCCUUUACAUUGUUGCUUACUUGUUCCUUCUUUAUCCCAUCAUUUAUUAUCCAUACCACAGAUUACUAAACAAUUGGUUGUUCUAAUGUAUCUGUCCUUUUGUCUACUUCAGGAUAUUUAGACCAAGGAGAUAAUUGGGUGUGGCACUAAGAGAGAGGGGUUGUACUAUGUGGAUGACGUCGUUCCUGGCAGACCUAAUGCAAUUCGAGCGUCUCGUUCUAGUAAUUUACAAGAAGUGUGGUUAUUGCAUCGUCGGUUAGGGCAUGCAUCUUUUGGGUAUUUACGGCAUUUGUUACCUAGUCUAUUUAGUGAAAUAAAUGAAUCAAACUUACAUUGUGAAGUAUGUAUUCUUGCUAAAAGCCAUUGUGCUUCGUUUCCUCCUAGUAUGAAUAAAAGAGCUUUACCGUUUGAACUUGUGCGCUCUGAUGUUUAGGGGCAUUCUCCCGUUAUUACUUCUUCUGGGAUUAAGUGGUUUGUUACGUUUGUUGAUGAUUGCACUCGUAUGACUUGGCUAUAUGUGUUGAAAAAUAAAAGUGAUGUUGGUAUGGUAUUUAGAUCUUUUUUCUCGGAUGAUUCAGACACAAUACUCAUUUGUGAUUAAAGUUCUACGUUCCGAUAAUGGGGGGUGAGUAUAUUAAUUUUGAGUUGUCGGAGUUUCUUCAUGAUCGAGGCAUUCUCCAUGAAACGACCUGUCCUCAUACCUUGCAGCAAAAUGGGGUUGCAGAGAGGAAAAAUUGCCAUAUCUUAGAAACGGCACAUGCUCUACUUCUUGGAGCAUCUGUUCCUAAGGUGUUUUGGCCUGAAGUUGUCACUUAUGCAAUCUAUGUGAUUAAUUGUAUGCCAUCUUGGGUUGUUGAAUUUUGAAACACUUCUCCAAGUCUUCACUUAACAUGCUCAAGUAGUGUCUACUAAUACUCUCACUCCUCGGGUAUUUGGGUGUGUGGCUUAUGUGCAUAUUCAGAAAAUUCAUCGCACUAAGGUGGAUUUGUGUGCCCUACGUUGUGUAUUUGUAGGUUUCUCAUCUCACCAAAAAGGAUAUAAAUGUUAUCACCCUGAAACUCGGCAUAUGUAUGUUACCAUGGAUGUAACCUUUUCUGAAUCAGAGUAUUUUUAUGCUCCGGUAUCUUCAUCUUUAGAUCACCAAAAGCAGAGCUCUAGUGGUGAUCUGGAAUGGUUGGACCUAGGGGGAGACAUUAUUGUAGAGACCGCACCUGCCAGUGGAGAAGUAAGUGCCGAGAAGGAUGUAGAAUUAUAGGUAGCUUCUGCCGAAGCAGGAGAUGCUAUUCAGAAAGUUUCUACCGAGCCUUAUGAGGUGGCUCAGUUGGUUUCUAUUGUGCAUAAUAGGGCUCAGGAGCCUACACCUGUCGAAGUAUCAUCAAAGCAGCCAUUGCAGCCACUUGCUGAAUCUGCUGAUGUGCCCCCCUCUCUCUAGCUCCACAGUGCAGCCCAAUACGUAUUCUCUGGAUAUGCUUGAGGUUAGUAUUGUGGAUGAUUAUGUAACUAAUGCAUGUAAUGAUGUAAGUACAUAUAAGUUGCAAUCGAGACAAAAUCGAGGUGUGCCACCUAACAGGUUCUCUCCGGAAGGGAAAGUGAAGUAUCCAAUAACCAAUUAUGUCUUAUGCAAUGGUCUUGCACCAGAGCGCUGAACUUUGGUGGACAAUAUGGAGUAUGUUCAAGUACCAACCCGUGUGGAGGAAGCUCUAAAGGAUCCAAAGUGGGCAAAAACAAUGGAUGAGGAAAUGUUGGCGUUACAGAAGAAUAAUACCUGUGAGGUCAUGCCUUUACCAAAAGGAAAAAAAAUAGUUGGAUGCCGAUGAGUGUUUACGAUCAAAUACAAAGUCGAUGAAUCAAUAGACAGGUACAAAGCAAGGUUGGUAGCUAAAGGAUACACCCAAACAUAUGGUGUAGAUUACCAGGAAACUUUCUCUUCGAUUGCCAAGAUGAAUACGGUACAUGUUAUGAUUUCUUUAGCUGCAAAUAUGGACUGGCCAUUAAAACAGUUUGAUGUGAAAAAUGUUUUUCUUCAUGGGAACUUGGAGGAAGAAGUAUAUAUGAAUUUUCCUCCUGGGUAUAGUGCUGGUAGAAAUAUCAUAGUAUGUCGGUUGCGUAAGUCUCUAUGUGGACUUAAGCAAUCGCCUUGUGCAUGGUUCGAUAGGUUUACUCAAGUUAUGAAAAAGAUUGGGUAUCAUCAGAGUCAUUCUGAUCGCACAUUGUUUGUUAAACGAAGACAGGGAAAAGUGACAGCCUUAAUCAUCUAUGUAGAUGACAUGAUUAUCACUGGAGAUGAUUUCGAUGAGAUUUCAAAGUUACAGGGUAAUCUUGCAGCCGAGUUUGAAAUAAAGAACCUAGGAGAUUUGAAGUUUUUUCUUAGGGUUGAAGUUGCUAGCUCUCCGAAAGGUAUCUUUUUGUCCCAACGUAAGUAUGUUCUGGAUUUGUUAAAAGAAAUUGGUAUGUUAGGGUGUAAGUUGGUAGACACUCAUAUUGUUGAAAACAUCAUCUAUGUUUGGAUUCGAAUAAGAAAUCAGUUGAUAAAGGGAGAUAUCAGAGACUUGUAGGAAGACUAAUUUAUUUGGCUCACACACGUCCGGAUAUCGCCUAUGUUGUGAGUGUAGUGAGUCAGUUUAUGCAUUCAUCGAGUGUAGAUCGUAUGGCUGCUGUUAUGCGUAUCCUAGCAUAUUUGAAGUCUGCGCCAGGAAAAUGAGUUCUAUAUGGGAAGCACGGACAUUUGAGGGUUAAGGGGUUCACAUAUGUUGAUUGGGCAAGAAAUGUAAGUGAUAGAUGAUCUACUUUUGGGUAUUUUAUUUUUUUAGGAGGAAAUUUGGUUACAUGGCGAAGUAAGCAACAUAAGGUGGUAUCGAGAUCCUCAGUUGAGGCCGAGUAUAGAGGCAUGGCCCACGACAUUUGUGAAAUUCUUUGGCUUCGAAAACGUCUUUGGGGUCUUGAGUUCAAACCAAAGGAGACCAUGAGACUAUAUUGUGAUAAUAAGUCAGUGAGAGAUAUAGCUGAUAAUCCGGUGCAGCAUGAUAGGACAAAACAUGUGGAGGUUGAUCGAUAUUUUAUUAAAGAGAAGCUUGAGAAGAAGAUUGUGUCAAUACCUUUUGUGAAUUCGGAGGAGCAACUUGCAGAUAUUCUCACUCAUGCAGUGUGUAGUCGAAAGUUUGAUGACUCACUUGUCAAUUUGGGCAUGUGUGAAAUCUAUGCACCAACUUGAGGAGGAGUGUAAAACAUGAGUCAAUGUUAGGGAAAAAAAGGAAUGUAAAUAAUGUAAAUACUAGGAGUCCUUUCUUAGGUAGGAUAUUGUUUUUGUCCUUAAUUAUUUGUUUCCUUAUGGAAUAAGGAUUGUAUAUGUAUAUAUUUUAAAGAAGUAAUACAAUGAAAAUUACCGCGUAAAAUUCUAUUCAACUUGCUGAUCGUAAGGCACAAUUUUCAUAAAAUCUAGAUAUAGUAGACAAUAAAAAUUGUGCGAAAUGAUUGAUCAGUUUCUAAUCUUAUAGAUUUUUCGAGUGGUUGAACAAAUUCGGAUGCAAAACUUACACCUAGACGUGCAAUGUGUUCCCGAUGUCAAUGACAAAACUUGCACCUAACGUUAGCUUUGAUAAGACCCUCCAUAGCGGUGUUUGCAUAAUCAACUGGUAUAACUUCGACGUUUGCUGUUAUAUUGUGCUUAGUUGCAAAAUCAAUCAUCUUUGGGUCUCCUUCAUUCCUCCAACGACACUACUAUGUAACUUGUUUUCAUUAAUCAAGUUGAAAGUAAUUGGUACAAAGAGAGACUUAUACAAAUACAUGGAUCAAUCAAGAUCCUGAAAUUAAGGCCUAUACAAGCUAUUACGUGAGUUAGACUCAUAAGUAGAUGAAAAGCAAUCUGAGAUGACUGUAUAGUAAUCCAGGAAAUGGACUCCUUAAAUCAAGGGACUGAUGACAGACUUUGGUUUACUCAACACUACCAGCUAUCAUCUUUCUCCCUAAAAGUACAAAAAAAAAAUGUUAAUACUAAUAUUCCAUUGAUGCAAAUGUACAGCUGAUUAAAUGUAAAGGGAACUUACUUCAACACACCCACUUUCUCCACACGCACUUAGUUAGACAAGACAUUUAGUUUUAAACAAUCUUAACUUCUUUUAUCUAAACCCAAUUAAGGUUACAAGUUAGUGAAUUCAUCUGCUUACCCAUCAGCAAAGGAAAAACUGGUAGCUGAAGAGGCUUAUCUGGUGCUCCAAGCAAAACAAGCUUUCCAUGAGACUUCAAUAAUCCAACCAAAGGCAAAAGAGGGUGGACUGCAGAAACAGUGUCAAGGAUGCCAUCCAUUGUGCCCAUGGCACCCUACACAAUCAAAAUAAACACAUCUGUAUGUCACAGUGCUCACAAGUACGAUUAAGAUGUAAACUUAAUAAACCUUAUUUUUCAAAUAAUCACCUGCAUUUGGCCUUCCUCGCGGCUGACCAAAAAGGAAUCUGCACCAAGGUUUUCAAUAGCAUCAUCUUUCUUAGUCGGGGAGGUAUUGAUCACUGUGACCUUAACCCCCAUAGCCUUUGCAAACUUCACGGCAACGUGACCGAUACCACCUACACCAACCACACCCACAUGCAUACCGGGUUUAUCAAGUCCGAAAUACCUCAAGGGGCUGUAAGUUGUAACCCCAGCACAUAGGAGAGGAGCAGCGCCAUCAAGAGGUAGGUUGUCUGGAAUACGGACUACGAAAUGCUUGGCCACCAUGAUGUCAGAGUAACCUCCAUAUUGUUAAUGUAUACAGAAAUCCUGAUCUGCAAUGAAUACUCAAACAAGAAAAGGAGAAGAAAGAAGAGUUCUAGAGAGAGAAUGAAUGUUUAGAGAAAGAAACUUUUGUAUUGAUCUGAAUUAAAGAUUACAGUAAUGCCAUAUCAUCUUAUAUAGUUUGCACGAUUUACAUCAGUAACUAUAUCAGUUAGUUAUAACACCUCUAACCAACAUAACCACCAAUAGUCUAUUAGCUAAGCUGAUGUGGCAUUGCCAGCUGUUACUACUGUCAACAUCCCCCCUCAAUCUAAGCUUGGGGUGCCAAGCUUCAGAUUGUAGCAAUGUCUGAUAAAUGCAGGACUGUGAAGACCCUUUGUUAGAACAUCGACAGUUUGCUCAUCAGUAGGAACAUAGGCCACGGCAAGAUCGCCUUUUUGUACCCUCUCCCUUACAAAAUGAUAAUCGGUAUCCAAGUGUUUGAUUCUGGAGUGAAACACUGGAUUCAAACUUAAUGCAAUAGCUGACAUGUUAUCACAAUUAAUAACAGGUGGUUGAAGUAAAACACACUUCAAAUCCCUCAAAAUGUGCCUAACCCAAGCUAGAUCAGCAGCGGUAUGAGCAAGGGCUUUGUAUUCAGCUUCUGUAGAACUUCUGGAUACUGAAGUUUGUUUCUUUGAUUGCCACGAAAUAGGAUUGUCUCCAAGAAAAACAAUAUAUCCAGUUACUGAUCUUCUGGUAUUAAGAUCCGCAGCCCAAUCAGAAUCAGAGAAAGCCGUGAUAUGCAUCUGUGAUUGUGAAGAAUAGAUUAUGCCAUGUUGCAUCGUACCAUGAAGGUAUCGAAGAAUCCGUUUUACAGCACCAAAAUGAACUUCAGUUGGUGAAUGCAUGUGUUGACAAACUGUAUUCACAGCAAACGUAAUAUCCGGUCUAGUAAACGUAAGAUACUGCAAGGAACCAACAAUGCUUUUGUAUGAACUAGGAUCUGAAAGUAACCCUUCUUCUGUCAUCAUCAUUUGAUUAUGUGGUUUACAUGGUGUAUUAGCAGGCUUGCAAGAAUCCAUACCUGUCUUAUGAAGUAAAUCCUUUAUGUAUUUCGACUGAUUUACAAAAAUAUCUCCAUUUGGUUUAUAUUGAAUCUGUAAACCAAGGAAAUAUGUCAGCUUCCCCAAAUCCUUCAAGUCAAACACAGAGGAGAGUUCUUGAACUACGAGUUGUACUUUAGUCACACAUGAUCCAGUCAAUAUUAUAUCAUCAACAUAUAGCAAUAGUAUGAUGAUAUCAUUGUUAUCAGUUUUGAUGAACAAACUGGUAUCAGAUACUGAUGCAGUAAACCCCAUUGUCACCAAGUAGCUUGUAAAUUUUGAAUUCCAAGCCCUUGGGGCUUGUUUGAGUCCAUAUAGUGACUUGAGGAGUUUGCAUACAUAAUCGGGAUGACUUGAAUCAACAAACCCUUGUGGCUGUUUCAUAUAAACUUCUUCUUGUAACUCACCAUGCAGAAAUGCAUUCUUGACAUCAAGUUGUUUCAAUUCCCAUUUAUUCAUUGCAGCCAAAGCAAGAAUGAGUUUUACAGUUGUAUGUCUCACAACUGGACUAAAAGUAUCUGAAUAAUCUACACCAUGCUCUUGAGACAACCCUUGAGCAACUAGUCUUGCUUUAUACCUUGACACAGUACCAUCAGGAUUUCUUUUCACCUUAUACACCCAUUCGCUUCCUAUUAUUGAUCUGUGAUCUGGUGCAGGUACUAAAUUCCAAGUACCUUGAAUUCGAAGUGAAUCAUACUCCUCUUGCAUUGCAUGUUGCCAAUGUGAAAUAGAUGCUGCUUGUCUAAAGCAUGUAGGUUCUAAUGAAUCUGCAAUCUCUGAAAUAAAGGAGAAACCUCCCACAAAAGGAUCAUCAUUUGUUAUCUGCAAAGUGUUUAACUCUGGAAACGUUGCAGUUAAGGCUGCAUAAUUUUUCCUUAGGAUGGCACCAGACUUCAACCUUGUCACCAUUGAAUGUUCAUUUCUAUUCUGUGCUUGAAUAUCAUGUGAUACAAUUGCUUGAGAAAUUGGUAACCUUGAAUCUGGUGGACUUGAGACGUGAUGGUGAGAAGAUGAAACCGGAUUAUCAGAAUGCGGACUGACUGCAGACUCUGAAGAUUGAGACACUACCAUAUCAGAAUUUCCUGAAGCUACUGGAUCUGAGCCUUGAAAAUGUGAAAUGACUUCUAUAGCUUGUGCAGAUCCUCUAUCUUGAUGCACUGGAGAUGGAGUAAUCGUAUCCCUUGGUAAUUGAAUCGCAAUAGGCCUUGAAUUCUGGAAAGAUGAAGAACUAGACUGUGAUAUCUUUGACACUUGUAUAUUCCGAUAAGGAAAUAUCUCUUCAUCAUGUACAACAUGUCUAGAAAGAAUUAAUUUCCCUGAACCAAUGUUAUAACAUACUACUCCCUUAUAUCCCAUCAUAUAUCCUAGAAAUACACAUUGAGUUGUUCUUGGUUCAAGUUUAUUUGCAUUAUAAGGCCUCAUGAAUGGAUACACUGCAGACCCAAAAAUCUUCAAAGUUUGAACAUCAGGUUCUUGUCCAAUUAACACCUGAUAUGGUGAUUUCAUAUGCAAUAUUCUACAUGGCAUUCUGUUUAUUAGAAAUGCAGCAUGUGAACAGGCAUGAAACCAAAAUUGAGCUGGUAACUUUGCUUCUGUCAUGAGUGUUACUGCAGUCUCAACCACAUGUCUGUGUUUCCUCUCAGCAAGUCCAUUUUGCUGAGGGGUAUAAGGACAUGAAAUCAUGUGUUUUAUACCCUUUGUAUCCAAAAAAUCAACAAACAUUCUACUUGUAUACUCUCCCCCUCCAUCAGAUUGUAAACACUUAAGUGAAUCACUAAAUUGAGUUUGUAUAAAAGCACAGAACUUAACAAAUAUGGAAAACACUUCAGACUUGUUAUUCAUUGGAAAAAUCCACAAAAAUCGUGAAUAUUCAUCUACAAAGCUCACAUAGUAUCUAUAACCUUGUACAGACACCUUUGGAGAUGACCCCCAUACAUCAGUGUGAACUUUCUCAAACAAACAUGUAGCAGUAUUUUGUCUUACUGGAAACGACUGUCUUCUCAUUUUACCACUCAUACAAGAAGAACAUAUGGACUCACAACUAUCUACUUUGACACUAUUAUUAAACUUCUUUUGCAUUACAGCAAGCACCUCCUCUGACGGAUGUCCUAACAGCUUAUGCCACCUCGACACUUGAAUCUUCUUUCCAAUAAAGCUAGCACAGUGCUCCAACUUUGCAGAAAAAGACUGUGCAAAGACAUUAACUGGAAUUGAAAACAGCUCCCCAUCAUCACUUGUCCCUGUGUACAGUAUCUUCCUUGUUGCCUUGUCCUGUAUGAAGAAGACAACAUCAUCACAUAUAAACCAACAUCCAUUAUCUCUGCAUAACUUCUUAACAGAAAGUAAAUUCACAGUGAUUUUAGGUACACAGAGCACAUUUCUUAACAUCAAAGAUUGUUUAGAAAGAGGAAUGCUUGUGGAACCAAUAUGUGUUACUUUCAAUCCUGUACCAUUCCCAAUUGUAAUAGUUCCAUCACCAGUAUAAGGAAUAACAUGAUUAAGAUGAUGUAAAUUUGCAGUCAUGUGAUGAGUUGCACCUGAAUCCAAUAUCCAGUUUUCUUCAGCAGUAAAACCAACACCAGAUCCUUCAGUUUGAGUGACAUUUGCUUGAGCUGUCAUAGCUGCAAUCGAUGAUGGUGGUGGAGGAUUUCCCUGAUAUGCAAAGUUGUUCCUGUGAAAGCAUUCAAGAGCUAUGUGCCCCCCCUUGCCACAUAUCUGACAUAUUACAGAACCAGAAGGCUGUGAACCUCCACUCUCAGUUCUAUAGUAGCAGUUUGGUGCAGUGUGUCCCCUUCUCGAACAUAUCUGACAUUCAGGUGAUACCGAGUACUUAGAGUUGGUAUUCCCAUUCCAAUUGGACUUAGAAUUGCCAUGGCCAGCAGAUGAAUUAGUUGAGGUGAAACCAUUACUUACAGAUUCAUAUCCUGCAACACUCUUACCACUUCCAGAGUAACCAUUAUUCCCAGAGUAACCAUUAUUCCCAUUUCUGUUAUGAAACCCUGAUGCAAACCUGGAAUUGUGAUUCCCACCUCCAAACUUUCUAUUAUUAAAAUUUCCUCUCUGUGAAGACUGAAAACCUCUACCACCAUUACCAUUUCCAAUUCCUGAAAAACCAUUUCCUCCCUGAAAAUUACUACCAAACUGAUCAUUAAAACCAUUUCCUCUCUGAAAGUUGUUACCGAAUGUAGCAUUGCUGAAACUACCCUGAGACCUCUGAGAAUUGGAACUCUCACCAUGUUCAUACCCUUGAAAGCCUUGUAAUCCUUCACCUUGAACAACCAUAGCAGACAUAGAACUAGAUAAAGAAUGCAUUCUAGAUUCAAUACUGCCUUCGGCUACAAGCAAUUGUGCUCGAAAAUCUUUGAUAGACAUAGGAGAAUCUCUUGCCAAUAUGACUGUCUUAAUCAUCUCAAAGUCAGCAGGCAAACCAGAAAGAACAACAAUGAUGAAAUCAUUAUCAGUAACCUUUUCUCCUGCAGAUACUAAUUGAUCCCUUAUCCUCUUUAGUCUCAUUAAGAAUUUAUCAACCGAAUCACCACCUUUCUGAGCAGUAUGCAAUUCAGUUUUAAGUUGAUUCACACGAACCAUUGAGACAGAGGCAAAUCUUUCUUGCAAACAUUUUCAAGCUUCAUAAGAUGUUUUACACCCAAUCACAUGUUCCAUAGCAUCAUCCGAAAGAGUUGCAAUUAGCAAACUUAACAAAGCUAGAUCCUUUUUCACCCAAUCUUUGUAAGCAGCAUUAAUUUCAUUUGUGACCCCAGAUGCUGUAGCAAUCACAUACUUAGGUGGACAUGGUGCUUUUCCAGUAAAGAAGUCAAACAAAUCAUACCCCUCAACACAGAUGAAAAUUGAUAACUCCAUUUCACAAAAUUAUCAUCUUGCAACUUUACUGUCAACAUCCCUAACAGAUUCUCAAUUCUAACAUUAGAUUCAGCCAUCUUCACACACUAAAGAUUAUCACAAAUACAACCCAAGAUUUCAAACAACAAGAUAUAGAACCACAUAUAUCAAGAAAUACACCUCUCUUCGGCAAUCGGCCUUUAAUGAAGAAAGAGAACAAAAUUGCACAAGAACUACACUCCGGCAAUCGGCCUUAUGGAGUUUACACCGAGAUAAUGGCUUCGGCCUUAUAUCUCAAAUCAAGAUUGCAGAAAGAUGGCAUCGGCCUUUUUUUACUUUCGCACAAAAAAUCAACAAACCCAGAAGAAAAAACCUUGAGACAUUUUCACAAACAGAUAGAGUGCAGAAAACAUACUGUACUUGCAAGAAAUACCAAGCCUCCGACUGAACGCACAACACUGAUUAAACUACACGAAGUCACCAAGAAAGAUCUCCGGCAACACCACCAUGAGCGGAAGACGAUAGCCACGAAGGAACGUACACGGCGAUGAUACCAUGUUAAUGUAUACAGAAAUCUUGAUCUGCAAUGAAUACUCAAACAAGAAAAGGAGAAGAAAGAAGAGUUCUAGAGAGAGAAUGAAUGUUUAGAGAAAGAAACUUUUGUAUUGAUCUGAAUUAAAGAUUACAGUAAUGCCAUAUCAUCUUAUAUAGUUUGCACGAUUUACAUCAGUAACUAUAUCAGUUAGUUAUAACACCUCUAACCAACAUAACCACCAAUAGUCUAUUAGCUAAGCUGAUGUGGCAUUGCCAGCUGUUACUACUGUCAACACAUAUGUCGGGGUUCCGUCAUGGUACUUGUCACCACAAGUGACUAUCAUUUUGGGGCAGUAAUUCUCAGCAUCAUUGGAACAAUUAUCACAAGAUUGGCAAGAUCCUGCCAUAUAUCCAAGACCGACAUGGUCUCCAACUUUGAAUUUCUCUACUUUGGUGCCUAUCUCAGUCACUACACCAACAAUCUCGUGCCUGCAUGCAUUUCCCGAUUAAAUUAAUUAAGUUCACUUUUGACAAAUGUAAUAGAUCGACUGUACGGUACUAGAUAUGUCUAUGUUACUAAUUAAUUAAUGGAGAGUAAAUUUAAAUAAAGUCAUUAAUUACUCAUAACAAAAUUUAGUGUAGAUGGAAUUUCCCCAUUCAUUCUUAAUCAUGUGAAGAUCUGUAUGGCAUAUCCCACAGUAUAAUACUUUGAACGUGAGGUCGUUCUUUCCUGUAUCCCUGCGACCAAAAUCAUGGUACUUUGAGUUAAAUUCAGUUGGCUCCUCUACUAGGACAUGAACAACUUAACUCAGAUGGAUAUUGAUUUAAAUUCAUUAAUUAAUUGACUUUCUGUUACAAAAAUAUAUAGUUUGGUAAGAUUUAGUUUCAUUUUAGCCUUUCAAAUAGGUAUAAUAAUUUUCAAAAUAUGCAUAAGUACAAGAUUUUAGGUGCAUUAAUUCAUGUUUAGAAGCACAUACAAUUUUGGAAUGUUUCAAAUUGUCAAAUACGCUAAAGUCCAAGUAGUAUGGGCUUGUAACCGAACGGGGCAUUAAAGCGGUUGAUGUUUUGAUGGAAUGUAAAUCAGGUGGGUAAAGGUGAUGCAAUCUGUUUCAUAUGCAGUGUGAAGUUGAUUGAGCACGCCUUAUGCCACUCGGGUUAGUAGAGCACCGCAACCUUAAUGUUUGGUUAGUAAAAAUUGUUAAAUACAUUUUUUUCUUGUAUUUUCGUUGUAUUUCCUAGGAACUAAAGCAUGUAAAUUGUAGAUGGAUGGAUGAAAGAAAAAUGAUAAAUGAAACACCAAUUAAUGGAGAAUGUAGAUGAUAAAAUGGAGAUAAUAACCUUCUGGAGAAUUUGAAGGGAGAGAGAACACCAGAUGAAUCUCUGGCAGCCCAUCCAAAUGCUUUCUUGGGGUGUUGUUCUGGAGAUUCCCCCAUUUUCUCUCUUAUCUGCUUUCUUUUUUUAGUUAAAAGACAUAGGUUUAAAGAGUGCUAGAUAUGUCUGUGUACACGCAAAGACAUAAAUAUAUAGCUAAUUAUGUGUGGUGGAGGGGUUUGAUUUUGGGAGAUGGAUUGUCUGCCCUUCCCAUCCCCUACUAUUUCUGUGGUCACGGUUAAGCCACGUCAACAUUUUAUAUUGAUACCACAAAAAUAUGAGGGGAUGAGAAGGGUAUGAGAUGGGAAGGGCGAACAAUCCAUCUCCUUGAUUUUGAGGGGUUGGAUUUAUUAGCUGGGAAAAGUAGGUAUAUAUACCAAAUCAAGUCUUAAAAGCUUAUUAGAUCAUUUCCUCUGCAGUAAAAGGUUGCAAAAAUAAUUUUGCUUACUUUUCACAUGGAAAAUGGGCGCCACGCAUGGUCGGUAUGUAUAUUUUUUGCUAUUUUUCUUUAAGAAUGGAGAGAGUUUAAAACUAUUACAAUUAUUUAAUAAAUGAAAUAGUUUUAAAUCAAAACUAGAAAUUCAACAUUCUUUCUACUAAGAUAUUGGAAUUUGGACCACAUGCAUGCAUGGUCAGUAUAAUCACAUUUCGUAUCAUGCCGUUCACUCAUUUUGUUGGUCUCAAUCGACGGUCGAAAGGAUGCUGCAUUGCCAUUGCAUGCAAUUGUCCGCAGGAUUUCAUAUAAUUGAGGUCAGAAAAGGAAGAGUGAAGGGUCCAUAUCUAUUCGAGUUCACCUACAAAGACAAGAAGCUCAGUAAUAUUUCUAGCAUGGCCGUUUUAUACCUUUUUUCUCACGUUCCCAUGAGCAAAGGGCCCUCACAUUGAUUAGUAAUUUUCGUGGCCUGCUGCCUUCGGUUGGUGGCUCACAGCUAUUUUUGUACCCGUUGCAUGAUUCAUCAAACUCGUGUUGCAUUUUCGUAUUUAUGGUCUCUGACCCCGACCAUGGAUUCGCAGCCCAAAACGCAAACAAAUCAGCAGCAACAGCUGCCAUGGGAGACGCCAUAGUGCUCUACGCAGCAACAGCCGCCAUGGGAGACGCCAUAGUGCUCUGCGCGUAAAGACUCUUGAGCAAUAUCUCUUUCUUGCGCUACCUCUUUCUUCUCUUCCAUCAUUUUGGACAAUCUUUUCAUAUACAUUGUUCUGAAGCUUUUCUAUUUGCAUCAAUAAACCUAUUAAAUCUCUGGAUUCCAAGUCUUGACAGACACAUCCACCGCAAAGAGCCAGGCUUUUAUACUUUUGGGCAUAAGAUGCCAACAGAUUCCAUAACUUGGAAGUUUAAUAAUACAUAAUUAUAGAUUUCAUAUUUAUAGAUUUGUAAAAUACUAUACUUCUCAGUGUGUUUACUAAAUAUUUGCAAAAAUUGGUGUUUUGUUUAAUGAAUUUUUAGGAUGUGCUCUGUACACAACAUGCACAUGAUAUGCUCAAAGAUUUGAGCUCAAAACCAAAAGCCCAGAGCUCAAAGCUCUCUCUUCCAAAUAAAAAAAAUGACGUCAUCACCUGUGAGUUUGUACAAUUUAUAUGUGAGUAUUUUCAUCAUUUCAAUUUUGUGCAUGGUGUGCAUGGUUUGUGCAUAUUUGAUUUGUCCUAUUUCAGUCAUAAGAUUAAGAAAAUUGAUCAUUUUUGAUAAUUUCCUAAUUUAUUGAUAGACUGAACACAUGUCCCACGUAGGACAGUUGAAAGACUUAUUAUCAGUGUGAUGAGUUGAGUUACUCUUGCAUUAUCAAUAAUUAGUUACAUAGAAUAAAACCUUAUGACAUUGGAGCAAGUUAUCUAAAUACAAAAAAAAAAAAAAAAAAAAAAAAAAAAAAAAUUAAAAUGAUGCAUUUUUAUCAUGAAGACAACAUUUAUAAUUAUUCAGAAUAUUUGAAUAAUUAUGUGGACUAUUGAUCAGUCUCCGAGUAAAAUGAAUAACAAAUUUUCGAUUCCCUUCGAACCCUAAAAGGGAAUUCUCCUCAGAGUAGCAACUUUCGCUUGUGCCUUCCUCAUGAACAUGGUUUUGCUCGUCUUCGAUCCUCAAUCACAAAUUGACUGCUGCAGUCGUUAUCGGUGGAUCGUCAAGGCCAACAACAUGUUAUUAGUAGCUUAAACUCCAUCUCAUAAGUCAUAAUAUACGGGGAGUAAAAAACAUGUAGCAAAAUUCUGGAGCUGACACGUAAACUUUUUUCCAAAGAACACAAGAAUGCCUUCAUUAAAUUGACAUGUCUCACAUUUAAUCCAUACGCAGUUUAGCAUUCUUGAAGACCUGAGCAUCUGGCUACAACCUAAUCAAACUCUCUAGCCCAUCGCAAAAAAAUAAAAAAAUAAAAAAUGUCAAAGACAGUAAAGAUAGGAUUAAUUAUUAGAUCUUAUCUUUAAUACUCUCCUAAUUGAAAAAAAUUGUUGGAACUAAAUUCGCGCACCAACGUAGGAGGUGGAGGUGCACAAAUCUAAGUAACUUGUAUAAGAACAAAUACCCGCGAGCUAGCCAAAGACCGGGAGGGGGGUUGUGUCGGUCUAAGACUCUCUGAAUGUCAAGUUAUAAGCAACAUAAGACUCAAGUAGUAGGUAAGAGAAUAAGCAUGUGAUAAUUGCGUUACUAGAGAUGAUAUAUUUAUACCAGUCAAGUAUGAGACAUUUUCGGAUGGUAGAAUCCUUAUUAAACUAGGAAAUCCCAAAUGAUAUCUAGGAAGUAGAUAUUGCAUCUCUUAAUAGUGUUACUUGCAGCGCACACCAAUCCUUAGAUUGUGAGGACUCUAAGAUUAUAAGAAAUCUGUUGAUUCCUUACCGAAUUAGGUUUUUGUAUCUUCCAGAAAAAGCAUGGUCAAUCUCCGCCAUUUGAUUUAGGAACAAGAUGAUGGUGGCAUUGCUGCUCCUAUUUUAGCUCCGCAAAAGAGGCUAUUGAGUCUAGGAUUAGAUUUCUGAGGUAUGCGUAUUCUAAAGUCAUUCAGUGAUGCAAAUGGGUGGCCCUUUGCAUCACCGAGUGAAUUCCGCUUUCAGACACACGAAUCUCUGAGCAAGACUCUUCAAUUUUGAUGGUGAGAUUUCUUGGCAGCACCUCUUUAAAUAGCCUUGGCUCUAUUUUUCCAAACCCUUUCUCCUAAGUUCUCAACUUCGCCAUAGAUACUCUUUAUUUCUUUCAUGCUUUAACUUCUAAACCCAAUUUCCGCUUGAAACCUUCCAUGAUUAGGAUUUGUAACCAAGAAAUUUGUCGCAUCCAUAUUCACUCUUAUCAAGAAAAUUCAAAAUUUGGAUAGCCAUAAUCUUUCAACAACUAACCUUGCCUCCUUUAAUGGGUUUGCUUUGCUCCAUAACUGUUGGCAACAUUUUCUUCAGUCUUUAUAUACAGGUUCAACAAGAGGAGACUGUUGAGAUUCUUUAAUGGGUUUUUCUUCAUUGGAGCCCUCAGAUUGAACCUCAUCAGAGUGGAUGAUCCUGGCCAAGUCGACCUUCUUAUCAUCUUUAGGAAUAAUUCUGUGCUAGGGGUAAAUGCAUGUCUCACCCAGAGAAUUGUACUUUUUUGCACUAUUCAAGGGAGUUUGGUGAUAAACAUAGGCUUACGAAUUUAUGAGAAUUGUAACUUUAUUCAAGUUGUUGAUCAUGUUAGAAUAAAGUGCUAGAGCUUUUCAUCCUUUGCAUCCUAAUCAUAGAAUAAUAUUUUAAUCUAACAAACCUUUCCAAAGUAUUCUAGCUUUAGAGUAAUUGAGUAAUAGAGUAAAACACGAACAAACUUGUAGACCCGGGAUAGAGCUCGAAGUCCCCCUAGGUAACAUUGAUUCGAAAAAUAUUACCUCCCAAACUUGGACCUUGUAAAGAUUUUCACUAUAGUAAUCGGAGUACCACCUUACUUUUAAUCGAGUUUAUGUCCAUGAAAAACUUUUUACUCUGUACUUCCAACAUUGCAAUGGUCAGAUUAAAGAUGAGAAAGCGAAAUAACUUCAUCCGAAAUGUCCUCUGGCACAUUGACUUUGAUGUCUUUCUUUCUUCAAGUGGUGUGUAGUUCAUUUGUUCACCUUGCGCAUUCCGGGUUUGAGGAUUUUAAAGAUUGCACCGAGAAGGGGCUUUCUUCCCAGUUCAAAUUGCAAGUUUGUCCUUAGGGAAUCUUAGUCGAAAGUUCGUUAGGGACUUGGUCGCUUCCAUGUGAUCGAAAACACCUUUGGAAUCUUUUUUGUCAGACCCAUGCGUCAUACUUGAGUAUUUUUUAUCAUAGUACACUCAGCUGACUUGGGUAGGGCAUUUCCGUAUAUAAGAGCUUCUUUGGAAUAAAAUUCCUCUUGAGGAUUUCCUAGUCUAGAUGCCUUAUUCGGACUUGCUUAAACACAUGAUUUUGUAGAACGUACUCGACUUAGUACGCUAGUUCGAGAUGGAAGUGAUCGUACUCAAAGUCGGAACUUAUAGUCACCCUUCAGAUUAUUUCUGGAUUGCCCUUUCAAUCAUUCCCUCGAAUUACAUAGAAUCUAGGUUUGAAUGUUAUAACCCACAAUCCUAUUCCCCUAUUUUUUCUAUAGUUGUCCUGCAAGAUUGAUGCCCUAUUGCAUAAAAGUUCAUGCCCCAAUUAAAGUGCUACGUUCUUCUACGUGUCAAUGGUUCAUGGGAGUGUACCUUUGACAUUUGUCGCAAGUCUGGGCAUACUCUAUGGUGUAUUGUCGCAUGGUGGGCCAAUAGUACCUGCCUGUCAGUGCCUUCUGUGCGAGCGAUCUUCUUAUGGUGUGGUUACUGCAUACACCGGAGUGUCAUUGAGAAUUUGCAAAUCCAUCUCCGGAGUAAUGCGCAAUGGUAUGAGGUCUGGAGUAGGAACUUUGGUAAAGCUUUCCACAGAUGAUGGUGUAUCUUGAGGCCUAUUAGACCAAUUUCUGGCCAAAUGGCGAUCUUUAAGUAGCUUCCCAUCUUGAAUGUAGUCAGUGUAAAAAGCAUCACCAAAAUCUAAGCAAGCAUGUCUAUAUGUAAGACAUAAGUCAAAAUGCAUGUAAGUUAAGAUGAGUUUUGCAAAAUAGGUGUGAUCAAUAUUCGAACUGAAAAUUUGAGUAACAACUAUUCUAAUUCCACUAAAUCAACCUAAGACUGAUGUAAAUUGUGCAGUGCCACAAUUGGCAUAAGGAAAUACAAUUUAAAAUGAAAAGGAAGAUAUCAUAAGGAACAUGUUCAAUUGUGUCCAACAACUGCAAAACUAUAAUAAAAAAGAUAAACAAAUUCUGGUGUGUUCUUUGUGAUCUUGUUGAAAAGCUUCCAUCAUCUUUAAAAUUGUUGACGGUCUAAGUAGAGAUAUAUGAUUGAAAGGAACGACACAAUGUUGACAAAAAAGAAAAACAAAAAUGCGCCUCAAUGCACCACCCAACUUCUCUCAAACCCAAAUUAGCAGCACUAGCCAUCAAACUUUUGCCCACAACCACGUGAUCUAAAACGUUGACGGGCAUCAGUCAUCUGCACACUGAAGCGGGCCACCCUCAUCAACCACCCAGAAAAGCCCAAAACAAAGGCAUGGCCGACCCAAACGCACAAACCCAAGCCCUAACCAUUUUUAAAUUUUAGAAAAGAUCGCAAUUCCGUAAAUAAAUUCAAAUCCCAAAUCGAACUUGCACUGUAACCAAGUCACAAUGCCACCCAUAUCCAACAAAAAAAAUACUUUGGAAGUUCAAUCUUUAGACCACAUGCAUAGGAUUGAAGAGAAAAGAACACAUUUGACGAACAAAAACAUGCCCACAGGUAAAAACAUGCCCUUCAAUCUAAUCAAACAAGGACCAUACGAGUCUAUAACCUAACACUGAUGCGAAGCAUAAUGCACACACAAAAAAUGUAAAGGAUGCAAUCAAUAAACCAAUUCUCAAAAGCACGAACAGAUAAACCACUGAAUAAUCAGCAUUUCAUCUCAACAAAGAUGCCAAUUUUGAGUUCACAGACUACCAACCCAGCCAAAACAAAAACCCAGUUCUGUAAAACCACCAAACAGAAAAAAGCUCGUUCAUUUUCCACCAAAGAAGCCGACCCAGAAACCAAAACCCCACGAAUAAAAAGCCUUUUAGCUCAAAUCAAAGAUCACUAGAAGUAAACCACUGCAUGCCACUCAAAAUAUACAAAGACGAAAACGAAAAACAAAAACAACUUAUUUGUUGGAAAUGAAAAUUAAAAAAUAACCGUGACAGAACCUUAAAUUGAAUGAAUAGGCCAAGCAAAUUCUCUUUCCUCGAUUCGGUCAAAGACAUGGAAAACGCACAGGGUAGCAGAACCGAACCAGGGAGAAUAAAAUAACAACAGGCAAGUCUCUAAAGCAGCAAAGAAAGAGAACACAAUAACACUCUUUAAAUACCUCAAUUCAUUAAAAACCCACAUAAACUUGGCCUUGAACUUAAACGAACAGCAAAAAGUAGAUUAUACUACCUUGUAUCUUGGUGGGAAUCUAGGAUAAGAUAUUCAAUCCUCCUAAGAUUAUGAUUACUUGCCUAAUCCCAAAGAUAUCCUAAUUGACUUGAACUAGAUGUUUCUCACUUAGGAGACAAGUAAUACAGGUACCAGACCUAAAGCUAAAUUGGAUCUUCAGACUAAGGCUAAGCCUGAUCGUUUGACAGUCAUGAGAAACGAGUAUUCCAGUUCUUCUUGCCACCUGAGAUGCCACGUGCCAGGGACAUAGAAAUCAUGCUCCCACAACAUAUUUGAGGAUCAAUUAAACUAAUUUUGAUACUCCUUCCAAACUUAACCAUUCUUUAUUCGGAUCACUAUGUUAAUCCAUGUAAAAACCUAUUAUAUUUCAAUCGAAAUUCUACACAAGUAUGGUUAUACCUACACUAUGAAACAUACUUUAUGAUUCUACCUAAGUAUUAUUGUAACUGCUCUAUAUUUCAAACAUAUAAUAUACCUAAACUAAUGUACCUAAUAAGCAAAUAUUGUACCAACACUAUGGCACCAAGAUUAAUGAAUGUACCUACACUAUGGCACUUAGACUAAUAAAUGUACCCACACUACGGCCCCAAGACUAAUGAAUAUUAUAUAUCUAUGUUGAUGCACAAAACUGGAGGGGUCUUGGAACAACGUAAAUCCGACCGUGAAUCUGCAAGAAAGUAAAGAACACAAGAUGUAUCGUGGUUCACCCCAAUGUUUGGGCUACGUCCACACUAAUGUUGAUAUUGUUUCACUCUGAAUGGUGAAUAUACAAGAAGGCUAGAGGCAGUGUGCUCUCUAGCCUAUUUUCUCUCUUCCCAUGGCCUAAAUCUUGACCUCUCUAGUGAGGAGAGUGAGGAGUCCUUUUAUAAAAUAAUGGUUCCUCACUUAUUACAUAUUUGCCCCUUCAUUUAUUACAUAAUUACAUUUGAGUCCUCCGAGUAUUUAUACGAUGUAUAAAUACGGAGGCCCUAAAUAUGGUACAAACAGUAGUCCCCCAAGUCUUCAGUCAAGAUAGUCUUUUGGCUGGAGACUUGAAAUUCAGUCCAUGUGUGGGCCGAAGUAACUAGAUGUCGUCUAGAACUGAUACUCGAUAUGAGGCGGUGCUCAAUGAUGCUCAACUAGAAAUAACACAUGUUGCAAGGCUGCUCGGCUUAUGGCUUAUGUUGCCUUGGUUGGCUCGGCUUGUGGCGUUGAAGGUGAGGGAGUCCCUUUUAUAAAAUAAAGGCUCACUCCUCAAUACAUAAGUGAUGGGUUAGGAGUGAUGCUCGUGGCAAGGCGGUUGCUCAGUUGGCGGUGAUGCUCUUUAAUGAUGGUGAGGAAGUCUCUUUUAUAGAAUAAGGGCUCUCUCCUCAAUACAUAAGUGAUGGGUUAGGAGUGAUGCUCACGGCGAGACGGUUGCUCAGCAGGCGGCGAUGCUCUCUAAUGAUGGUGAGGGAGUCCCUUUUAUAGAAUAAGGGCUCGCUCCUCAAUACAUAAGUGAUGGGUUAUGAGUGAUGCUCGCGGCGAGGCGGUUGCUCAGCAGGCGGCGAUGCUCUCUAAUGAUGGUGAGGGAGUUCUUUUUAUAGAAUAAGGGCUCGCUUCAUGGGCUAAGAGUUUCUCUCUAAUGAAGGUGAUGGAGUUCCUUUUAUAACAUAAGCAUUCGCUGCUCAAUACAUGAAUAAUGGGUGCUCUCUAAUGAAAGUGAGGGAGUCCCUUUUAUAGAAUAAGGGUUCGCUUCCCAGUACAUAAAUAAUGGGCUAAGUCCCCCAAGUAUUUUUCAUGAGGCCCAGUUACAGAAGCCCGAUAUAUGGUACAUAAUGUAGUCCCCCAAGUCUUUAGUCAAUAGAGUCUGUUGGCUGGAGACUUCAAAUUCAAUUCAUGUAUGGGCCGAAGUGGCGGUUGUUCGAAGGCGGUCUUUGUAUACCAUGCACUAAAGCUUUGUAGGUGAAGCUUUGAAAGUGAAGCUUUGAAGCUGGAACUUUUGUAAAUGAAGCUUUUGAAGUCGGAGCUUUGUAAAUGAAGCUUUCGAAGCUGAUUGUCAUGAGUGAUGCUUAUGAAUGUUUAUGUUGAUUGACAUGAGUGAUGCUCAUGGAUGUUGACAUGAGUGAUGCUUAUGAAUGUUUAUGUAUGAUUGACAUGAAUGAUACUCAUGAAUGUUUUAUGUAUGAUUGAGUGAUGCUCAUGUAUAAUUUUGGAGUACUGGACGUACUUUUGAUCACCUAGUUGGUGAUAAUAGCGGCAGGCUGCCGAAUAAUUUUGGAGUACUGGACGUACUUUUGAUCACCUGGUUGGUGAUAAUAAUGGUAGGCUACCGAAUAAUUUUGGAGUACUAGACGUACUUUUGAUCACCUGGUUGGUGAUAAUAGCGGCAGGCUGCCGAAUAAUUUUGGAGUAUUGGACGUACUUUUGAUCACCUGGUUGGUGAUAAUAGAGGGUGAACCUUAAGUUGAGGGAUGGAUGUUGGAGUUUGAAGCCAUAGGGCCUGGCUUUUUUCGGCAUAUGGGCCUUCGACCUCCACAUAACACUCCAGCCUACUAUUAUGGGCUUGCCGACAUUUUUUUUAUUUUUAUUUUUAUUUUUUUAUUACCCUCUGGUGGGGUUAUACAGGUGUCUUCAAAAGAUAAGAGAAGUGAAUCACAUCAUUCAAAAAAAAAAAAAAAAACUGAUGGGAGUUGGCAACAGCGAGAUUUCCUUUGUGAGAGUGGUUGACAGUUGCAUGUUGUUGGUGCGUACUGUGCCUACUGUGUACUGGAGAGUUUUUUCUACCUUUCCUUUUCUCUUUCCACCACACCUCUGUCUCUGUCUCUGUCUUUGCGCUGUUGUCAUGCAUGUGCACCCAAUUAAUCAUUAAUCUCUUCUUUACUGUUUGUCCCCUACCACUUGCGAUCUUACUCAGUCAAAUCCCAAUCUUUCAGAUUUUAUUCUCUUCUCUACUGUAAAUCCACUUCCUUCUCGGUUUUUCUCAUCUUCAGACAUCCUUUUUU